RNAcentral lists this small RNA (17 nucleotides) under Arabidopsis thaliana (thale cress). Its description in RNAcentral is "ATSL120490". Lineage: Eukaryota; Viridiplantae; Streptophyta; Magnoliopsida; Brassicales; Brassicaceae. The record is from RNAcentral.
AGUUUAGUUGAUUUGUU